This 255-nucleotide ribosomal RNA is filed under the name uncultured bacterium. Its description in RNAcentral is "partial 16S ribosomal RNA". It matches the Rfam family "Bacterial small subunit ribosomal RNA", at positions 524 to 776 of the family's 1533-position model. The record is from RNAcentral.
UACGGGGGGGGGCAAGUGUUGUUCGGAAUUACUGGGCGUAAAGGGCUCGUAGGCGGCCAACUAAGUCGGAUGUGAAAUCCCCCAAGCUUAACUUGGGAACUGCAUCCGAUACUGGAUGGCUUGAAUCCGGGAGAGGGAUGCAGAAUUCCAGGUGUAGCGGUGAAAUGCGUAGAUAUCUGGAGGAAUACCGGUGGCGAAGGCGGCAUCCUGGACCGGCAUUGACGCUGAGGAGCGAAAGCUAGGGGAGCAAACGGG